GGAAUCUUCCACAAUGGACGAAAGUCUGAUGGAGCAAUGCCGCGUGAGUGAUGAAGGGUUUCGGCUCGUAAAAAUCUGUUGGUGGAGAAGAAAAGGUGUGAGAGUAACUGUUCACAUCUUGACGGUAUCCAACCAGAAAGCUACGGCUAACUACGUGCCAGCAGCCGCGGUAAUACGUAGGUGGCAAGCGUUGUCCGGAUUUAUUGGGCGUAAAGCGAGCGCAGGCGGUUUCUUAGGUCUGAUGUGAAAGCCUUCGGCUUAACCGGAGAAGUGCAUCGGAAACCAGGAGACUUGAGUACAGAAGAGGACAGUGGAACUCCAUGUGUAGCGGUGAAAUGCGUAGAUAUAUGGAAGAACACCAGUGGCGAAGGCGGCUGUCUGGUCUGUAACUGACGCUGAGGCUCGAAAGCAUGGGUAGCG
Molecule: ribosomal RNA, 420 nt
Filed under: uncultured bacterium
Lineage: Bacteria
Description: bacterial SSU rRNA
Rfam family: Bacterial small subunit ribosomal RNA
Source: RNAcentral